This 29-nucleotide small RNA is filed under the name Bombyx mori (domestic silkworm). RNAcentral describes it as "ovarian small RNA-13648". The record is from RNAcentral. Lineage: Eukaryota; Metazoa; Arthropoda; Insecta; Lepidoptera; Bombycidae.
CCCAUGGACUUCAGAAAUGCCAGGGGCGG